UAGGGAAUCUUGGACAAUGGGCGAAAGCCUGAUCCAGCCAUGCCGCGUGAGUGAUGAAGGCCUUAGGGUUGUAAAGCUCUUUCGCCAGGGAAGAUAAUGACGGUACCUGGAUAAGAAGCCCCGGCUAACUUCGUGCCAGCAGCCGCGGUAAUACGAAGGGGGCUAGCGUUGUUCGGAAUUACUGGGCGUAAAGCGCACGUAGGCGGUUUUCCAAGUUGGAGGUGAAAUCCCCGGGCUUAACCCGGGAACUGCCUCCAAAACUGAAAGGCUAGAGUCCGAGAGAGGUGAGUGGAAUUUCCAGCGUAGAGGUGAAAUUCGUAGAUAUUGGAAAGAACACCAGUGGCGGAGGCGGCCCACUGGCUCGGUACUGACGCUGAGGUGCGACAGCGUGGGGAGCA
Molecule: ribosomal RNA, 398 nt
Filed under: uncultured bacterium
Lineage: Bacteria
Description: bacterial SSU rRNA
Rfam family: Bacterial small subunit ribosomal RNA
Source: RNAcentral